Molecule: non-coding RNA, 23 nt
Filed under: Arabidopsis thaliana (thale cress)
Lineage: Eukaryota; Viridiplantae; Streptophyta; Magnoliopsida; Brassicales; Brassicaceae
Source: RNAcentral
CAGGAAGUCCUCGUGUUGCAUCC